GACGAACGCUGGCGGCGUGCCUAAUACAUGCAAGUUGAGCGAUGAAGAUUGGUGCUUGCACCAAUUUGAAGAGCAGCGAACGGGUGAGUAACGCGUGGGGAAUCUGCCUUUGAGCGGGGGACAACAUUUGGAAACGAAUGCUAAUACCGCAUAACAACUUUAAACAUAAGUUUUAAGUUUGAAAGAUGCAAUUGCAUCACUCAAAGAUGAUCCCGCGUUGUAUUAGCUAGUUGGUGAGGUAAAGGCUCACCAAGGCGAUGAUACAUAGCCGACCUGAGAGGGUGAUCGGCCACAAUGGGACUGGGACACGGCCCAAACGCCUACGGGAGGCAGCAGUAGGGAAUCUUCGGCAAUGGACGAAAGUCUGACCGAGCAACGCCGCGGGAGUGAAGAAGGGUUUCGGAUCGGAAAACUCUGUUGGUAGAGAAGAAAGUUGGUGAGAGUGGAAAGCUCAUCAAGUGACGGUAACUACACAGAAAGGGACGGCUAACUACGUG
RNAcentral lists this ribosomal RNA (497 nucleotides) under uncultured bacterium. Its description in RNAcentral is "partial 16S ribosomal RNA". It matches the Rfam family "Bacterial small subunit ribosomal RNA", at positions 28 to 507 of the family's 1533-position model. The record is from RNAcentral.